AUGAAGCUGCAAGGAAAGGCAUCCAAACGCCAUGCUUUGUCGCUGCCACCAUCAACCAGCCGACAAGCCACCAUUCUCAGAUUUAGGCAUCGGAAGCCCAUCACGACACACAACCACUCGUGUCGUCCACUGCUACCCACGCAGCAAGACCACCACCUAGGACACUCGGAAUCCUCGCCCCGCAUCCAUGCUCCAUCGAGGGUGUCGCACCAUUCGAGGUUGUUGUGCCUCGUGAUUGGAGAGCUCCCCUCCCCGAGAGAUCACCGCACGAGAAGGCAUCCCUACAACAAAACAGGGAAACACAUCCGAAAUUCCAAGCGAACAACAAACCAGCAAUUCAGUAGCAAGACAGCUAGGCCAGGCGAUCAUAUGUGGAAGAAGCCUGUUCAUGACAUGGUUAAGGUGAAUGUUGAUGCAUCUUUUCACGUCGACACAUUGUCAAGAGCGACUGGAGCAGUUAUUCGUGAUGAACAUGGCGACUUCAUUGCUGCUGCUUCCUGGUUUAUACCCAAUGUACGAGAUGUGGACGCUGCUGAACUUCUUGCUAUACGAAAUGGAAUGUAUCUUCUUGCCAAUAUGGGAUGUAUGAGAGCGGAGGUUGAAUCAGACUGCACCUUUGCGGUGGAAUCAAUUCAGCUAAUGGAUAAUUACCAAGGACCAGAUGUUGCAGUUGUUGCUGAAUGUAAGCAACUCUCCAUCGGCUUUGCAAAGAUCGCCUUCAAGCAUUGUUUCAGAGAAGCAAACCAAGUGGCUGAUGAGUUAGCAAAACAGUCUUUUAGAUCGAAUUCUUCUAGUUCCUGGGAUGCUAUCAUCCCUGACUUUAUUUCUCACCAUCUUGUAAAUGAUAUGACAGUUAUUUGA
This 861-nucleotide ribosomal RNA is filed under the name Triticum aestivum (bread wheat). RNAcentral's name for it is "partial small subunit ribosomal RNA". The record is from RNAcentral. Lineage: Eukaryota; Viridiplantae; Streptophyta; Magnoliopsida; Poales; Poaceae.